UGAGGAAUAUUGGUCAAUGGGCGCGAGCCUGAACCAGCCAAGUAGCGUGCAGGAUGACGGCCCUAUGGGUUGUAAACUGCUUUUAUGUGGGGAUAAAGUGAGCUACGUGUAGUUUAUUGCAGGUACCACAUGAAUAAGGACCGGCUAAUUCCGUGCCAGCAGCCGCGGUAAUACGGAAGGUCCAGGCGUUAUCCGGAUUUAUUGGGUUUAAAGGGAGCGUAGGCCGUGGAUUAAGCGUGUUGUGAAAUGUAGACGCUCAACGUCUGAAUUGCAGCGCGAACUGGUUCACUUGAGUAUGCGCAACGUAGGCGGAAUUCGUCGUGUAGCGGUGAAAUGCUUAGAUAUGACGAAGAACUCCGAUUGCGAAGGCAGCUUGCGAGAGCACAACUGACGCUGAAGCUCGAAGGUGCGGGUAUCAAACAGGAUUAGAUACCCUGGUAGUCCGCACAGUAAACGAUGGAUGCCCGUUGUUAGUUCACUUAGGAAUUAGCGACCAAGCGAAAGCAUUAAGCAUCCCACCUGGGGAGUACGCCGGCAACGGUG
Molecule: ribosomal RNA, 543 nt
Filed under: uncultured bacterium
Lineage: Bacteria
Description: bacterial SSU rRNA
Rfam family: Bacterial small subunit ribosomal RNA
Source: RNAcentral